CAAAAGUGAACAAGGAGGAAGCAUAUUCCAUAUGAAGGUCGAGAUGACCCAACUCACACCCCCUCUUUGUGUACACCUCUUUGUGUACCACACAGAUAUAAUAUUAAUAAGCUUUUGAAGAUUUAUUGUGCAUGUAUAGCACGGUCGUCUAGGGGUGUAUACAUAAACAGUGAAAGCAGAGUCUUCAUAUAGGGUUUGCAAUACUGACAGUCUGGGUCAUAGGUGUAAU
Non-coding RNA from Pelobates cultripes (western spadefoot toad), 229 nucleotides. The record is from the annotation of a GenBank genome assembly. NCBI's taxonomy places the organism in Eukaryota, Metazoa, Chordata, Amphibia, Anura, Pelobatidae.